RNAcentral lists this ribosomal RNA (387 nucleotides) under uncultured bacterium. Its description in RNAcentral is "bacterial SSU rRNA". It matches the Rfam family "Bacterial small subunit ribosomal RNA", at positions 28 to 417 of the family's 1533-position model. The record is from RNAcentral.
GACGAACGCUGGCGGCGUGCUUAACACAUGCAAGUCGAGCGGUAAGGCCCUUUCGGGGGUACACGAGCGGCGAACGGGUGAGUAACACGUGGGUGACCUGCCCUCAGCUCUGGGAUAAGCCUGGGAAACCGGGUCUAAUACCGGAUAUGACUCCAUGACGCAUGCUGUGGGGUGGAAAGCCUUGUGCGGCUGAGGAUGGGCCCGCGGCCUAUCAGCUUGUUGGUGGGGGAUGGCCUACCAAGGCGACGACGGGUAGCCGGCCUGAGGGGGCGACCGGCCACACUGGGACUGAGACACGGCCCAGACUCCUACGGGAGGCAGCAGUGGGGAAUCUUGCGCAAUGGGCGAAAGCCUGACGCAGCGACGCCGCGUGAGGGAUGACGGCCU